This 110-nucleotide ribosomal RNA is filed under the name uncultured bacterium. Its description in RNAcentral is "partial 16S ribosomal RNA". It matches the Rfam family "Bacterial small subunit ribosomal RNA", at positions 1373 to 1482 of the family's 1533-position model. The record is from RNAcentral.
CCCGGGUCUUGUACACACCGCCCGUCACACCAUGGGAGUGGGUUUUACCAGAAGUGGCUAGUCUAACCUUCGGGAGGACGGUCACCACGGUAGGAUUCAUGACUGGGGUG